AAUACAACUUUCAACAACGGAUCUCUUGGCUCUCGCAUCGAUGAAGAACGCAGCGAAAUGCGAUAAGUAAUGUGAAUUGCAGAAUUCAGUGAAUCAUCGAAUCUUUGAACGCACCUUGCGCUCCUUGGUAUUCCGAGGAGCAUGCCUGUUUGAGUGUCA
Molecule: ribosomal RNA, 159 nt
Filed under: Tricholoma myomyces
Lineage: Eukaryota; Fungi; Basidiomycota; Agaricomycetes; Agaricales; Tricholomataceae
Description: 5.8S ribosomal RNA
Rfam family: 5.8S ribosomal RNA
About the family: 5.8S ribosomal RNA (5.8S rRNA) is a component of the large subunit of the eukaryotic ribosome. It is transcribed by RNA polymerase I as part of the 45S precursor that also contains 18S and 28S rRNA. Functionally, it is thought that 5.8S rRNA may be involved in ribosome translocation.
Source: RNAcentral